This 437-nucleotide long non-coding RNA is filed under the name Bos indicus x Bos taurus (hybrid cattle). Its description in RNAcentral is "lncRNA (ENSBIXG00005010147.1)". Lineage: Eukaryota; Metazoa; Chordata; Mammalia; Artiodactyla; Bovidae. The record is from RNAcentral.
UUAGUUUCCUGCUUAAAACAGAGUGAGAUGCCAGCUUUGGACACCUCCAGGCAAGAAAGAACCUUGAGACACACCAAUCUUCUCUUCUUGAUCCAACUGUGAAAAGGUGUGGCAAAUACAGCAUGUUGUUAGUGUAUCUAUGAGCACAGUGCACAUCCAUCACUUACAUGCUUAUCUCAACUUCAGAAAUAGGACCAUUGAUUUACAAAUGAAUUCAUAAAGCCGAGCUGCAAAAGUCAUGGGUGAGUAAUUUAAAAAGGUAUUUGUUCUUUCUUUAUUGAAUACCAUAUGCCAUCCAUGCACAAUUCUCAUGAUGGCCUAAUUCAAUUUUCAUGAGAAUAUAAACAAAGGGGGAUAAUGAAAUGUAAUUGAUCACUAUAUGUAUCAUUACUACUGCUUACAAUAAACUAUGCUGUGUAAAAAGAAAUUUCUUCUAA